AGAGUUUGAUUAUGGCUCAGGAUAACGCUAGCGGCAGGCCUAAUACAUGCAAGUCGAACGGGUUGGCAAUAUGAGAGUGGCGCACGGGUGCGUAACGCGUAUGCAACCUACCUUUAACAGGGGGAUAGCUCCGAGAAAUCGAAAUUAAUACCCCAUAAUUAUUGAUUGGCAUCAAUUAAUAAUUAAAGCUCCGGCGGUUAAAGAUGGGCAUGCGUGCCAUUAGCUAGUUGGUGAGGUAACGGCUCACCAAGGCAACGAUGGCUAGGGGUUCUGAGAGGAUUAUCCCCCACACUGGUACUGAGACACGGACCAGACUCCUACGGGAGGCAGCAGUAAGGAAUAUUGGGCAAUGGACGCAAGUCUGACCCAGCCAUGCCGCGUGCAGGCAGUAUGUUGACUGCUUUUGUCAGGGUGUAACCUGAAGAAUAAGCAUCGGCAACUCCGUGCCAGCAGCCGCGGUAAUACGGAGGAUGCGAGCGUUAUCCGGAUUCAUUGGGUUUAAAGGGUGCGCAGGCGGAUUAUUAAGUCAGUGGUGAAAUCCUACAGCUCAACUGUAGAACUGCCAUUGAUACUGAUAAUCUUGAGUGUAUAUGAAGUGGGCGGAAUGUAGCAUGUAGCGGUGAAAUGCAUAGAUAUGCUACAGAACACCAAUUGCGAAGGCAGCUCACUAAACUCAACUGACGCUCAUGCACGAAAGCGUGGGGAUCAAACAGGAUUAGAUACCCUGGUAGUCCACGCUGUAAACGAUGAUUACUCGUUGUUGGCGACACAGUCAGCGACCAAGCGAAAGUGAUAAGUAAUCCACCUGGGGAGUACGAUCGCAAGGUUGAAACUCAAAGGAAUUGACGGGGGCCCGCACAAGCGGUGGAGCAUGUGGUUUAAUUCGAUGAUACGCGAGGAACCUUACCUGGGCAAUGUUGUUGACGUAUUCUGAAAGAUACUUCCAAUAACAGGUGCUGCAUGGUUGUCGUCAGCUCGUGCCGUGAGGUGUCGGGUUAAGUCCCAUAACGAGCGCAACCCCUAUCAUUAGUUGCCAUCAGGUCAAGCUGGGGACUCUAAUGAAACUGCCUACGCAAGUAGAGGAAGGUGGGGAUGACGUCAAAUCAGCACGGCCCUUACGUCCAGGGCUACACACGUGCUACAAUGGCCGGUACAAAGGGCAGCUACCUGGUGACAGGAUGCUAUCUCGAAAGCCGGUCUCAGUUCGGAUCGGAGUCUGCAACCCGACUCCGUGAAGCUGGAAUCGCUAGUAAUCGCGCAUCAGCCAUGGCGCGGUGAAUACGUUCCCGGGCCUUGCACACACCCCCGUC
This 1310-nucleotide ribosomal RNA is filed under the name uncultured Bacteroidota bacterium. RNAcentral's name for it is "bacterial SSU rRNA". It matches the Rfam family "Bacterial small subunit ribosomal RNA". The record is from RNAcentral. Lineage: Bacteria; Pseudomonadati; Bacteroidota.